Molecule: ribosomal RNA, 522 nt
Filed under: uncultured bacterium
Lineage: Bacteria
Description: bacterial SSU rRNA
Rfam family: Bacterial small subunit ribosomal RNA
Source: RNAcentral
CGGGUUGUAAAGCUCUUUCGGCCGGGAAGAAAUCGUGGUCUCUAACAUAGGCCAUGGAUGACGGUACCGGACUAAGAAGCACCGGCUAACUACGUGCCAGCAGCCGCGGUAAUACGUAGGGUGCGAGCGUUAAUCGGAAUUACUGGGCGUAAAGCGUGCGCAGGCGGUUUUGUAAGACAGAUGUGAAAUCCCCGGGGCUUAACCUGGGAACUGCGUUUGUGACUGCAAGGCUAGAGUACGGCAGAGGGGGGUGGAAUUCCUGGUGUAGCAGUGAAAUGCGUAGAGAUCAGGAGGAACACCGAUGGCGAAGGCAGCCCCCUGGGCCUGUACUGACGCUCAUGCACGAAAGCGUGGGGAGCAAACAGGAUUAGAUACCCUGGUAGUCCACGCCCUAAACGAUGUCGACUAGUCGUUCGGAGCAGCAAUGCACUGAGUGACGCAGCUAACGCGUGAAGUCGACCGCCUGGGGAGUACGGCCGCAAGGUUAAAAACCUCGAAAGGAAUUGACGGGGACCCGCACAA